This 440-nucleotide ribosomal RNA is filed under the name uncultured bacterium. Its description in RNAcentral is "partial 16S ribosomal RNA". It matches the Rfam family "Bacterial small subunit ribosomal RNA", at positions 338 to 795 of the family's 1533-position model. The record is from RNAcentral.
CCUACGGGGGACAGCAGUGGGGGAUAUUGCACAAUGGGGGAAACCCUGAUGCAGCGACGCCGCGUGUAGGAAGACGGUCCUCUGGAUUGUAAACUACUGUCCCCAGGGACGAAGCUGACGGUACCUGGGGAGGACGCUCCGGCUAACUACGUGCCAGCAGCCGCGGUCAUACGUAGGGAGCGAGGGUUGUCCGGAAUUACUGGGUGUAAAGGGAGCGUAGGCGGGGAUGCAAGUUGGGUGUUAAAUCUACCGGCUCAACUGGUAGUCGCACUCAAAACUGCAGCUCUUGAGUGAAGUAGAGGCAGGCGGAAUUCGUAGUGUAGCGGUGAAAUGCGUAGAUAUUACGAAGAACUCCAGUUGCGAAGGCAGCCUGCUGGGCUGUGACUGACGCUGAGGCUCGAAAGUGUGGGGAGCAAACAGGAUUAGAUACCCCGGUAGUC